RNAcentral lists this small nuclear RNA (19 nucleotides) under Arabidopsis thaliana (thale cress). Its description in RNAcentral is "snRNA_01964". Lineage: Eukaryota; Viridiplantae; Streptophyta; Magnoliopsida; Brassicales; Brassicaceae. The record is from RNAcentral.
AUCCUGAUAACAAACACUC